Long non-coding RNA from Stomoxys calcitrans (stable fly), 1213 nucleotides. RefSeq lists it as uncharacterized. The transcript has 4 exons. The record is from RefSeq and is a predicted model, not a curated record. Lineage: Eukaryota; Metazoa; Arthropoda; Insecta; Diptera; Muscidae.
CGUCUUCGUGGAUUUUGUUGUGAUUUUGUGACCAGUCCAACAUCUAACCGCGAUACAGCAAUACAGCGGAGAAGUGCUGUCCCUCUAUUUUCCGUUACAACAAAAACUAAGCAUGAGCAACAACAUAUAACAAACUAAAAACAAUGCAAAAAUUUAAAUUAUUGUGUGUUUGUUAAAUAAAUUUUAAUUAAAAUACUUCGGAGAAAUGGGAAAUAAAAAUGUGAAUAAACCAAAUUUUUCGUUUCCGUUAAUAAGACAAUAAACCGAACAACAACAACAAAAACCAACAUAUAAACAAAAUAAAAAAGAUAACUUAAAAUAGGCUUGUAAACUUGUGUGGUACUACGGCAUCCCUCAAAGUGAUAUUCAUCGGCCAAACUAAUUGAGAAAAUACCAAGGGUUGCCAAUUAGAAUUUUAAUGUCUUUUGCUUUGGAAAAAAGUGACCAACUGAAUUAUGCAUGAAAUUCGAAAAUAUUUAAUUAAUUUGUGAGAAAUCUGAUGAAAACAACACAAUAUUUUCGUCCCAUAUGAAUAUGCUAAAUAAAUAGAGUGUGCUGUUUCCAAUUACCACAUAAAUUGUUGCCAAUUUGCUUAUGAAAAAAAUUAUUUAAAAUUUAUGUGUUUAUCAAAGUGAUUGUGUGUAAAAUUAACUACUUUGUUUUUUUUUCAAUAAAAAAUGUGAGCAGCUUUACGAUCAUCUUUACAACAAAGUUUAGUGGAAAUAAUAAUUAGAAAAAAGGUAAGUUUAUUGAAACGAAAUUAUAUUCAUAACACAUAAUCUCAAACAGCAGUCCAGACUCUUCCACAUAAGGUUGGUUGGCCGACAUGUUGGUUAGCAGAGGGCAGAAAUUGGUGCAAAAAUAUACAGCAAAAGAAAAGAAAAAAUAAAUCAGAAAUUUCAAUUGACUCGAUAAUCACCCUCAAUGUCGCACGUGAAUGAUUGAACAAUUAAUCAUUGAAAUUCAAAGAAAAAACGCUAAAAAAACAGCAGAUUAUCUCACACAAUUGGGGUGAUAACGAACGAAAACAUUAUGAAUGGAUGGUCAAUUUAUAUGCAAUGUCAAAAAUGCGAGGAAGGUUUGAACUCAAGAAAAAAAAAGUAAAAUUUUAGUAAAUAAUUUUACUGCUGACAUAACUAAUUGACAUUUGGAUAGGUGUAACAACAAAAACGUUUUUAUGCACCAAAUAAAUUUUUUAGUUCCAUGCAGCUUA